RNAcentral lists this ribosomal RNA (301 nucleotides) under uncultured bacterium. Its description in RNAcentral is "partial 16S ribosomal RNA". It matches the Rfam family "Bacterial small subunit ribosomal RNA", at positions 509 to 809 of the family's 1533-position model. The record is from RNAcentral.
CAGUAGCCGCGGGAAUACGAAGGGGGCUAGCGUUGUUCGGAAUUACUGGGCGUAAAGCGCACGUAGGCGGAUAUUUAAGUCAGGGGUGAAAUCCCAGAGCUCAACUCUGGAACUGCCUUUGAUACUGGGUAUCUUGAGUAUGGAAGAGGUGAGCGGAAUUCCGAGUGUAGAGGUGAAAUUCGUAGAUAUUCGGAGGAACACCAGUGGCGAAGGCGGCUCACUGGUCCAUUACUGACGCUGAGGUGCGAAAGCGUGGGGAGCAAACAGGAUUAGAUACCCGUGUAGUCCCUGUCUCUUAUAA